AGCUUCUCGGAGCUGCUAUUGCGAAAUACGGCUUCCUUAAUAUCAAAAUUUCAACAAGGGAGCUGGGUGCUAAGAUCCAAAGUCGAGAGGGAAACAACCCAGAUCGUACGCUAAGGUCCCUAAGCAAUCACUUAGUGGAAAAGGAAGUGAUCGAGCAAUGACAACUAGGAGGUGGGCUUGGAAGCAGCCAUCCUUUGAAGAAAGCGUAAUAGCUCACUGGUCUAGCUCCAUGGCACCGAAAAUGUCUCAGGGCUUUCCCGAGAAGAAAGAGCACGCAGAUCUUG
This 284-nucleotide non-coding RNA is filed under the name Oryza meridionalis. RNAcentral's name for it is "Bacterial large subunit ribosomal RNA". It matches the Rfam family "Bacterial large subunit ribosomal RNA", at positions 865 to 1220 of the family's 2925-position model. Lineage: Eukaryota; Viridiplantae; Streptophyta; Magnoliopsida; Poales; Poaceae. The record is from Rfam by way of RNAcentral.